Molecule: long non-coding RNA, 1316 nt
Filed under: Bemisia tabaci
Lineage: Eukaryota; Metazoa; Arthropoda; Insecta; Hemiptera; Aleyrodidae
Description: lncRNA ENSASIAIIG004357
Source: RNAcentral
GUUUCUGAUCGCCUCUACGUGGGUGGUUAUCCAGGUGAACAUAAAUUACCUGACGUCUCAAAUAUGGGUUUCGAUGGGUGUGUCGACAAUGUGCAAAUAAUGAGCAUUAGUGUAGAUCUUAGUAAAAACAUCAAUGCUCUUGAUGUAGUCCCUGGCUGUCCCAAAAAGCAUCACGCAAAAGACUAACCCAAUUAGGCUCAUCAAUGGUAAUCUAUACUUCGGAGCUACACCACCCACUACAGACACAUCAACAAUAGGUACAACAUAUCCUUUCUCUGGCUGCAUCAGUGAUGUCACUAUCAAAGGAGAAAUAGUCAACUUUGCCAAGGCCAAAGCAAAUAAUGUUGUUAUUGGGACGUGCAUUCACGGAGAAGGCUCACAUGUCAGACCACCCUUGAGUAAGUUCCUUGAGUUCUUUGUCUAGUUAUUGCUAAAAAUCGAAAUGAUGCGUUAGUUGACAAGAAUUUCUCAGUUUUCGAUCACAGAUGGUGUUAGUUGUUGAAUGAAAUCAACAACAGAAAAAUGGAUAUUAAUGAAUCUUAACUGCACCAAUGAAAAAAAUUAUAACGUUUUUCUCGCGAGCAUAUAAGUAUAGAGAAAUGAGAAACAACUUAAUGGGCCCAAAACGAUAAUACAAAAUCAACAACUUUAAAAGGGACUGAGGCUGACUAAGGGACAGUUAUCGCACCUAAAAAAAAGGUAAUACAAAAAAGAAAAUAAACAAAAACUCUUAACUUAUACUGAACCUCGUUGCUGUUAUUGUGAGACACAAGUUUAGAGCUAAUUUCAACUCAUGAAUUCAUUCUACAAAACAUUCUGUUUCAUUCUAUUCAUUUGCUCUUUCAAACUGGAGCGGAACGUUAACAAUAACACAGGUAAUCUCUUUCAAUGCUAGAGCAGAUUUUUUAUGACAUAGCAAAAGCUAUUAAGCUUUUACACUAUCAUAUGCUCUUAAUAAAUUGAAUUUUUUCCAGAACCAGUAACGUUUGAGGAUGAAGAAGGUCGGUUCGUGCGCUCUCCCAUUUACUUCUCUAAAGGAUCCAAAUGUUACAUACGAAAGUGGCCACUGGUUCGGUACGACAAACGGCAGUCGAAUUGAGUAUCCAUCGCUUGCCCCUAAACUCAAAAGCAAAUUUGAUGUGUCAAUUCAAUUCAAGACCAUCUCUCAGUACGGAACCAUCCUUUGCGCUGCUAAUGAGCUACACACCGAGUGUGUGGCUGUGUACUUGGUUGAUGGGAAGAUUCGCUUCGGAUUCAGUGGCAGCGCUCAAUCAGCUCCUCUGGAGUCAUCAGAAACAUACAACGACGGCGAGUGA